This is an RNA transcript of Solanum pennellii, 1424 nucleotides long. RefSeq lists it as uncharacterized. Lineage: Eukaryota; Viridiplantae; Streptophyta; Magnoliopsida; Solanales; Solanaceae. The record is from RefSeq and is a predicted model, not a curated record. The transcript is spliced from 5 exons.
CAUUAAUAAAUGAUAAAACAUUUUUCACUUCACUUUCCUCUUUCAGUUCUUCUCUUCUCCGUUAGCUUUCCUUUUCACGUUUCAAUACGCAGGUUUCUGAAGAACUGAAGAACCAAGGUGGAGAGAGGUGAACAUAGCUGAAGAACUGGUUCUCUUUUCCGAUACAUGAUGAAGAGUCGAAGAACUGAGAUGAUGAGAUGAAGUUUUCAAAGAAUUGGUAUCUCAAGUUGUCUUCUCCGAAGAACGAUUCCUUAAAGAAUCAAUUUUCCCAAUCUUUGUUCGAGUCCGAGAUUCUGCCCGAAAUUAUCAUCCGUCGUUAGUGUUGAAGUUUCUUGGUGAAAAUCGUUUCCCUGAUCAUCCAGUACUAAUUCACUGCCUGAAGAAAGAGAUUUUUGAUGAACCAAUGAGAUAAUGAACCAAAGUUAAGAGAGGUGAAGACAACUGAAGAAUCGAUUCACUUUUCCAUUACAUGCUAAAAGAGUGGAAGUCGUCGAAGAAUUAGUUGAAUAGUUGAAUUGAUCGAUGAACUGUUGCUGAAGUCGUCAUCUCCAAUAACAAUUUCUUGAAGAGUAAGUAUGAUUCUCUUUUCCGAUUCCUAUUUCAUAAAGUCUUAAUACUAGAACAUUUUUCUUCUUAGCUAAAGUAACUGAUUUUUUAUUUUGUGUUUAGAAGGAAUUGAAUACUUUUGGGUUGUUUGUAAGAUGAUGAACUGAAGCUAAUUAGUCUCUUUCACACUUUUCUCUCAAGUUUCUCAUUAUAGAGCACGAUUUUAGACAAAUUUUGUUGGGAUAUGGUUUAUCAGAAGUAUAAUCAAAAUUCAAAAACAUUUGUGGAGGAUUCAAGAUCUGAUUUGCCAUAGCAAAAGUGUCAUGACUAGGAAUUCACAUAUCACAUCCAAGGAUUGGAUGAAUUUAGCAAGGUAUAGUCAAGAGUACAUCGAUUGCGUUGAAUCAUUUCUAGAUUUUUCUUACUCUUAUGGAUAUCCUCAAGGAGAGGAAAUUCAGUGUCCUUGUGCAAAAUGUUGUAAUAUUCAUUGGACUAGAAGGAAUAAAGUGUAUCAUCUUAUAUGCUAUGGAUUCGUUAAAGUCUAUACUCAAUGGAUCAAUCAAGGGGAAUGGGAUAUCAAGUUGAAUGUUGACGAUUAUAUGGAUUACUCAGGUGAUGAUAUUGAUGGGUUGUUGAAUGAUCAAUUUAGAGAUGUUGCACAGGCUGAAGGAGUUUAUGAUGGUGCAAUUGAAGAUGCCAAGAAAUUCUACAACUUUGUUAAAGAGGCAAGCUAAGAAUUAUAUCCUGGUUGUACAGGAUUCUUUAAAUUAUCAUUCAAACUUUGUUUAUAUUUGUUAAAGUAUCUACAUGGAAGGAGCAAUGCAUCAUUCACUUAUCUUUUAGAGUCAUUAAAAGAGGCGAUGCCCGAGUUGAACAUU